UUCACCGUGAGGUGAAAUCUGAAGGAAGCGAAUGGCAAAACUUGGUUGCGACGAACAGAAAUCUGAUAGUAGGCCUAUGCAACUUGGGUAACCUAGCAAUAGAUAGAAUAGCCCAAUGCCUCGACGGGAAGUGUGUAUAGGUAAAUCAGGCACGACCAAGGGAAAGAACAACGU
Photobacterium sp. is the source of this 174-nucleotide non-coding RNA. NCBI's taxonomy places the organism in Bacteria, Pseudomonadati, Pseudomonadota, Gammaproteobacteria, Vibrionales, Vibrionaceae. The record is from Rfam.